UAAAAGCAGUGGUUUGUUUGCUUGGUCCCAAGUUCGGCUGCCAUCCCUGAGACUGCGGCCCUCAUGCUACCUCUGGGAAGAGAAGACAGCUAGCGGGUGGAGGAAGAUCGACUCUUUGGGGAUUUCAUCACCCACUGGUCAUAUAGACUCAGGAUGCUCAUGGAGUGCCCCCAGAUUGGGUGUAGCAGUCACUGCGGCUUUGGCUAACCCACAGGUGUUCCCAAGUCCCUUUUGCUUUGCCACCUUCCUUGAUGUGAGCCGUAGACAAGUGGUCAGUGAUGGUCCUGACUAAUGAGAGGGACAUGGUGUCGCAGCAGCCAUCUUGCAGUCGUGAAGGACGGCCCAGGAGAGCUGCACACUUGGUGGCCCCAGCAUCGUUGAGCCACUGAACCAGUUCUGUGAGCCACUUCCUUCUAGAACUUCUUCCUGUGAGAGGAAAAAGAAAUACCCUCUUUGUUAAGCCACUGUAUGUUGAGUUUCUCAUUAUUUACAGCUUAAAGGAUUUCUAACCGAGUCACAGAGAAAACAACUCUAUUCUCCAGUCCGUCCUGGUGACUAUGUCAACGAUUCCUUGAAAUCCAGUGAGAAGUUGCUCCUGGACCACUCACUGGACGAAGGAACAACCAGGGCUGGGACCCUGGUUACCUCGAGUUCAAAAGCCAUGCAGCCGGUCCCUGUAAGGCCUGCGCAGGGAGCCGGGACUGCGUCCCUGCAACUCUGAACGCCUGCCCUCUCCUCCUCUUGCCACUUUCAAAAGGACACACCUUUUCUCAGGAAGCUCCUACUUUCUAGUCAGCUUCAAACCAUCGCCGCGACACGGACGCAGAAAGGGAGCUCUCUGAGUCAGACGUAGGGGAGAAAACGAAAGACAGAGCCAGUAGAAGUUAAUAUUUCAAUAAAUAGCUUGCCACACCUAGCAGUCGAGCAAAGUAGCCUCGGCGGGAGGAGACACUGAGCAUGAUGACAGCUGAGUAAUUAGGACAACUUUUGAGUCCUGUGCAAACUUGCGUGGAUGAAGUCAUUUGACCCGCUUCUCGCCCGCACAGCAGGCACCGGGAUGCUUCUUCAUCGUAGGCGGGAGCGCCGCUGUACUCUGGGGCCGUGGGAAUGGGCGGGGCGUGGGGGGAGGAGAGAUGCUUAACAUUUUCUCCUUCCAAGACCUGCCGUCCUGAACUUCACCAUUUAUAUUUAAGAAGCUGGAGCUUUCAUUUGAAAGUGUCCUGUCCUUAUUUCUGCAACUUUUUUUGGUUGGAAGUUUUAUUUACGGUUUAAAAUUCAUUUUCUUGAGAAGGUAAUCAUUUAUAUGAUUAAUAGUAGAAUUGAUUGUAAUAGCAAAUGCCUGGAAAUGAUCUACACAUCAGCAGGAGUCUGAUUAAAACA
Lutra lutra (Eurasian river otter) is the source of this 1380-nucleotide long non-coding RNA. RefSeq lists it as uncharacterized. NCBI's taxonomy places the organism in Eukaryota, Metazoa, Chordata, Mammalia, Carnivora, Mustelidae. The transcript has 3 exons. The record is from RefSeq and is a predicted model, not a curated record.